ACCUAGGCGACGAUCCCUAGCUGGUCUGAGAGGAUGACCAGCCACACUGGAACUGAGACACGGUCCAGACUCCUACGGGAGGCAGCAGUGGGGAAUAUUGCACAAUGGGCGCAAGCCUGAUGCAGCCAUGCCGCGUGUAUGAAGAAGGCCUUCGGGUUGUAAAGUACUUUCAGCGGGGAGGAAGGGAGUAAAGUUAAUACCUUU
Molecule: ribosomal RNA, 204 nt
Filed under: Escherichia coli
Lineage: Bacteria; Pseudomonadati; Pseudomonadota; Gammaproteobacteria; Enterobacterales; Enterobacteriaceae
Description: partial 16S ribosomal RNA
Rfam family: Bacterial small subunit ribosomal RNA
Source: RNAcentral